GGCGGGGCCCCGCCGAGGGGCUGGCUGGCCGCACGCCUGCAGCCACCCCUGGCCUGACCACUGAAGCCCUUUGCCCUGGGAGCCACUCUGGUUGACUCAGGGGCCCCCACAUGCACAGCGGCCGCCCCCCCAGACCCCGGUGCGGCAAAGUGUGUGCGCGCACGACGGGCCCCAAGGAGGCGCUGGACGGAAGGUGAUACCCUUUCGUGGAAAAAAAAAAAAGCCCCACAAGCGAAGAGCAGUCGAGCCAGGUUUGCGGCAGAGCCGACCGCUGAGCCGGAGCACAGGCCCUGGCGCCCGGGCCACCUCUGCUGACCGUCCACGGCCCGGCCUGGUCAGCGCUGUUUCAUUCCCCUGGACUUCGAAGGAGACGCAGCGUGGCCCCAGGGUCCUUGACUCACUUCUCUUGCCAUAGCUUGUGGCGAGUCACCCCAUGUCCCUCGUUCAGAACAUCAGGAGACCCGUGGCAUCCUGACCUCGUUUCCAAGAGAGGCCGCUCGAGUCGGGGCCUGUGGGCACUGCCCGCAUCUCCACGGGGGGCCAGGGCCACCAGAGCUGGCUGCUGGCCGCAGUCGACAGCACCAAGGGCCGUGCCAGAAAACCGGUUCAGCCGGGACGGCAAAUUUGUCCACACACCGGGUCGGCCGUUCCCUCCGAGAUCCACGCAGGUCCUGCGCUGGCAGCUGGGGGACGCUUGAAGGUGCGUCUGGCUCAAGGGUCCUGGGGUGUGGACGCAGGCGGGUGUCCUGCCCCUGCUCACCCUGCCUCUCAGGACAAGUCAUUCGGAGUGGGGGGGUAAGGGGGUGGCCCCUGGACCUCUGGACAGGCCUUCUCACACUGAAGGCCCCCUCGGAGGCUCGCUGCAGCCCCGCCCCCACUGGCCCCCGUGCGG
This is an RNA transcript of Talpa occidentalis (Iberian mole), 892 nucleotides long. RefSeq lists it as uncharacterized. Lineage: Eukaryota; Metazoa; Chordata; Mammalia; Eulipotyphla; Talpidae. The record is from RefSeq and is a predicted model, not a curated record. The transcript has 5 exons.